CCUUGCCGCGGCUGGGGCUAGGACCCGAAAAUAAACAAGCCGGAUAUGACGCACGCCUCCUCCCAGGAUGGCGGCUGGCCGGGUUGUCAUGGGAACCGGUCGGAGCCGAGCUGGAAGAGGCUCGGAUUCGCGAGCGCCAAUGGAGCGACUCUCUGACUUCGUUUCCAGGACUUGGAUCUUGUGAGACAAUCCGUGAGUUGCGCUUCCGACUGCGCCUGAGCAGAAGCUGACAUUUGGACCCCUUGCCCCCAUUUUACAGGCGGAAAUACCAAGGCUUAAAGAGAGCGAGAUGCCCAAGAUCACGCGUGACGGAAUCCAGCUUUGAGAGGACUGUAGAUAUAACAGACUGUCGUUAGGAACGGAGGUCCCACUUUACCUUUGCCACUUACUAGCUGCGUGACUUUGGGCAAGUUAAUUAGCCUCUCUGAGUCUCUGGUUUUACACUUGUAAAAUAAUAAUAAUAAUAAUACUGCCUCCUGGGAUUCAGCCAGUGUUGAGAAAGACCAAACCAAAAUAUGGCCUCCUUGCUUUGGGACUUUUUACUUGGUACCUGCCAUACCUGCGUGGCCUUACACUGGCAUCAAUCCUGGUGGCUUGUCACUUCACUUCAUGGAUUUGUCUCUAUUUCCACCCACCACAUUGACCGGGAGCUCCUGGAAGACUCUGCUCACUAAAUCCCUCAUGCUUGCAAAGUGCCAAGCACAUACUCAAGACUUUGGUGAACAUACUGCAAUUGAACCAUUCAUUUUGUUUCUCUACCUUAGCCACUAGACAUUCACUGAAGACUUAGAGCCCACAAGUGCCAAGCCCUCUUUCUCCAACAUGCUCUUAGCUCCCUGCACUUAAACAUGCUCUUCCACCCUUCUGUCCUCUGUGCCUCUAUAUGCUGUUCCCUCAGUGUGAAUGUUCUUCCCCUCACCUCUUCCCUUCCUCUUUUUCUUGGCUUCCAGCUCCAGCUCAAUCCUAGCAUCCUUUCUGAAGCUUUCUCUGAUUUAUAGGUAAACACCCAACUUCCUCUAAUUCCAUACAACACUGUUUCCAAAUUUUAUCUCAGCUCUUACCACAGUAGAUUUUAUAUAUAUAUUUUAAACCUAACACCCCCACAAGACCUGGAGCUCCUUACUUAUCUGUUUCUCCUGAGCUCUGUACAUAUCUAUCAGGAGGUGCCCAACAGAUGUUCCUUGAUUGCAGGAUUCUCUCUUUCAGCCUUGGUGUCUCCAGCUAAAGCUGGCAGGUCUUGUCUCAGGACUUAAAGACAUAAUACAUGGGGAAGCAUUUGGAGAACCAGCAACUUGCUAUUCACACAACAGCAAUUACUGUAUUUAUCUGAGCUGGUCUGAACACAACUCAAGGUCUUUGUUUAUGUCAGCCUUUAUCAGCUCAUGUUUAAUCUCCUCUCUUAAUUACCUGCAAGGUGAUGGUGUUUACAGGAAUUCCAGCAAAAAAAAACAACUGUCCCACUUAAACUCACUUUCUUUGAACAACUCAAAACUGUCCUUUGGAAACAGUUACAUGACUGCAUGAGACUGCUAAGCUAAUAAGUUCCUCCCAACUCUGUGGUUCCGUGACAGCCAAAGUCUCUGAAGGCAGCCACAUUUCUCGUCUUUUAGACAGGGUUGAAGACCUGAGAUUUCUCUACUUGGUGACAUAGAAUUACAGGAGCAUCCUUUUCAUUUUUUAUUACAUAAUGAUUAGCAGAUUGUAUAACAGUCCUGUGACAAUGACUAGGCACUUCUACUUCCUAAGGGCUGAUAACACCAACACGAAUAAUCUACCUACUUCUUUCUAUUUUUUAAUUUUUUUUAAUCACAUGAAUUUCAAUGAUGCCAACGUGUAUAGAACAAAAAGUGUAAAAGAAAAAGCAACGCUCUCACCCAGCAGUUUGGUUCCUUGGAAUCUACCAGAGAAACAAGCACCAGUGCACAGAGACCUGUUGCAUCACUGUCUGUAAUGCAAAAACCAAAACCAGAAACAUGCUCAAUGUCCAUCCACAGGAGAAUGGUGUACAUGCUAAUGACUACUAUGUAUCACUUGAAGAGGAUGAGAUGUAAACCUGCAAGGCAUACUGAGGAAUGAAAAAAAGAAAGACAUAUCCUGGGAAAACAAAACACCAAUACUAUGUAUUUUCUAAGGAUACAUAUAUAUGUAUAAAGUCAAGACAAUAAUGCAAA
This is a long non-coding RNA of Manis pentadactyla (Chinese pangolin), 2171 nucleotides long. RefSeq lists it as uncharacterized. Lineage: Eukaryota; Metazoa; Chordata; Mammalia; Pholidota; Manidae. The record is from RefSeq and is a predicted model, not a curated record. The transcript has 2 exons.